UCUUUUAAUUGAAAUUAAUUACUAAUUUUAUUUAAAAACCACAACUCACAAAUAAAAUUAAAACAAGUCAAAAUUGAACAAACAUAAUUUCAAGUGCUGGCAUAUAUAUAUAUAUAUAUAUUUAUUUAUUUAACAAUUAAAUCUUAAACCAUUUUAAACAUGCAAUAAUGAACAUGCACAUGCAGUCAGAUCCUAAAAAUUAAAAUCCUAACCUUUAAAAUAAAAAUCCUAAACUUUAAGGGUCCUAUAGGAGCUUAUUUCGACCGGUCAAAAAUUAUGUGCUCACAAAUCUUUGUCUCUCCCACCGCACGACGUACAUAUCUUUUUGUGCACAUCUUGAAGAUUUAGAGCGGGUUCUAUGGGUUCAACUAAACCCACUAUACCUUCAACUUGAACUAUGUAUACACGUGCAAACAAAAAAA
Molecule: long non-coding RNA, 422 nt
Filed under: Nicotiana benthamiana
Lineage: Eukaryota; Viridiplantae; Streptophyta; Magnoliopsida; Solanales; Solanaceae
Description: long non-coding RNA (NBEN_LNC002247)
Source: RNAcentral